This 410-nucleotide ribosomal RNA is filed under the name uncultured bacterium. Its description in RNAcentral is "bacterial SSU rRNA". It matches the Rfam family "Bacterial small subunit ribosomal RNA", at positions 370 to 772 of the family's 1533-position model. The record is from RNAcentral.
AAUGGGCGAAAGCCUGAUCCAGCCAUUCCGCGUGCAGGAUGAAGGCCCUCGGGUUGUAAACUGCUUUUGUACAGAACGAAAAAGCUCUGGCUAAUACCUGGAGUCCAUGACGGUACUGUAAGAAUAAGCACCGGCUAACUACGUGCCAGCAGCCGCGGUAAUACGUAGGGUGCAAGCGUUAAUCGGAAUUACUGGGCGUAAAGCGUGCGCAGGCGGUUUUGUAAGACAGAGGUGAAAUCCCCGGGCUCAACCUGGGAACUGCCUUUGUGACUGCAAGGCUGGAGUGCGGCAGAGGGGGAUGGAAUUCCGCGUGUAGCAGUGAAAUGCGUAGAUAUGCGGAGGAACACCGAUGGCGAAGGCAAUCCCCUGGGCCUGCACUGACGCUCAUGCACGAAAGCGUGGGGAGCAAA